This 255-nucleotide long non-coding RNA is filed under the name Mytilus galloprovincialis (Mediterranean mussel). Lineage: Eukaryota; Metazoa; Mollusca; Bivalvia; Mytilida; Mytilidae. The record is from RNAcentral.
UUGAAAUUGAAAUCAAGCAUCUAAAAGGGAAAUUUAAGACAAAAUUUUGUUUAAAGGAAAAAAGAGACGACUUCUUAGGUUUGUUUUGUAUGUUCUUAUGUACGACACAACAGAUAUGGAACACAUAUAAUUUCAAAGUAUUUGACUGCUUUGUAGUUGAUCUACCAAUCGUCUUUUAGAGUAUAUAUAAGUUGUUCCCAAACUGUAAUAGUUUGUGUGUUCAUUAGAUGCAAAUCAAAAUUGCAUAUUAUACAU